This 492-nucleotide ribosomal RNA is filed under the name uncultured bacterium. RNAcentral describes it as "partial 16S ribosomal RNA". It matches the Rfam family "Bacterial small subunit ribosomal RNA", at positions 29 to 507 of the family's 1533-position model. The record is from RNAcentral.
AGUGAACGCUGGCGGCAGGCCUAACACAUGCAAGUCGAACGGCAGCACAGUAAGAGCUUGCUCUUACGGGUGGCGAGUGGCGGACGGGUGAGGAAUACAUCGGAAUCUACUUUUUCGUGGGGGAUAACGUAAGGAAACUUACGCUAAUACCGCAUACGACCUACGGGUGAAAGCAGGGGAUCUUCGGACCUUGCGCGAUUGAAUGAGCCGAUGUCGGAUUAGCUAGUUGGCGGGGUAAAGGCCCACCAAGGCGACGAUCCGUAGCUGGUCUGAGAGGAUGAUCAGCCACACUGGAACUGAGACACGGUCCAGACUCCUACGGGAGGCAGCAGUGGGGAAUAUUGGACAAUGGGCGCAAGCCUGAUCCAGCCAUACCGCGUGGGUGAAGAAGGCCUUCGGGUUGUAAAGCCCUUUUGUUGGGAAAGAAAAGCAGCAGGUUAAUACCCCGCUGUUCUGACGGUACCCAAAGAAUAAGCACCGGCUAACUUCGUG